GACGAACGCUGGCGGCGUGCUUAACACAUGCAAGUCGAACGGUAAGGCCCUUCGGGGUACACGAGUGGCGAACGGGUGAGUAACACGUGGGUGAUCCGCCCUGCACUUCGGGAUAAGCCUGGGAAACUGGGUCUAAUACCGGAUAGGACCACUGCCUGCAUGGGUGGUGGGGGAAAGCUUUUGCGGUGUGGGAUGGGCCCGCGGCCUAUCAGCUUGUUGGUGGGGUGAUGGCCUAACAAGGCGACGGCGGGUAGCCGGCCUGAGAGGGGGACCGGCCACACUGGGACUGAGAUACGGCCCAGACUCCUCCGGGAGGCAGCAGUCGGGAAUAUUGCACAAUGGGCGCAAGCCUGAUGCAGCGACGCCGCGUGAGGGAUGACGGCCUUCGGGUUGUAAACCUCUUUCAGCACCGACGAAGCGCAAGUGACGGUAGGUGCAGAAGAAGGACCGGCCAACUACGUGCCAGCCGCCGCAGUAA
Molecule: ribosomal RNA, 478 nt
Filed under: uncultured bacterium
Lineage: Bacteria
Description: partial 16S ribosomal RNA
Rfam family: Bacterial small subunit ribosomal RNA
Source: RNAcentral